RNAcentral lists this transfer RNA (74 nucleotides) under Simkania negevensis. Its description in RNAcentral is "tRNA-Arg". It matches the Rfam family "tRNA". From Rfam's summary of the family: Transfer RNA (tRNA) molecules are approximately 80 nucleotides in length. Their secondary structure includes four short double-helical elements and three loops (D, anti-codon, and T loops). Lineage: Bacteria; Pseudomonadati; Chlamydiota; Chlamydiia; Parachlamydiales; Simkaniaceae. The record is from RNAcentral.
GCACCGGUAGCUUAAUUGGAUAGAGCACCCGGCUACGGACCGGGAGGUUGGAGGUUCGAGUCCUUUCCGGUGCA